Molecule: ribosomal RNA, 458 nt
Filed under: uncultured bacterium
Lineage: Bacteria
Description: partial 16S ribosomal RNA
Rfam family: Bacterial small subunit ribosomal RNA
Source: RNAcentral
CCUACGGGAGACAGCAGUGAGGAAUAUCGGUCAAUGGGCGAGAGCCUGAACCAGCCAAGUCGCGUGAGGGAGUACUGCCCUAUGGGUUGUAAACCUCUUUUGUCGGGGAGCAAAAGCCGGACGUGUCCGGCUGUGAGAGUACCCGAAGAAAAAGCAUCGGCUAACUCCGUGCCAGCAGCCGCGGUAAUACGGAGGAUGCGAGCGUUAUCCGGAGUUAUUGGGUUUAAAGGGUGCGCAGGCGGAUUUUUAAGUCAGCGGUAAAAUCGUGGGGCUCAACCCCAUCCAGCCGUUGAAACUGGGGAUCUAGAGUGUGCGAGAGGUAUGCGGAAUGCGUGGUGUAGCGGUGAAAUGCAUAGAUAUCACGCAGAACCCCGAUUGCGAAGGCAGCAUACCGGUGCACAACUGACGCUCAGGCACGAAAGCGUGGGUAUCGAACAGGAUUAGAUACCCGGGUAGUC